UUGGCUGCUAACAAUUGAAUAUUAAAUUGAAUAUUAUUAUUACUUACUUUAUUCAUUAAACAUGAAACUCAGUCAACUGAACAUUCAAAAAUGCAUCACAAGUACCAUUGACUGGUGCUAAUAGUUGAUACGGAUUGCUGCCAGUGUCCUAGGUAUCAACCAAGUACCUUCUUAAGAUGUACAAUGUUCCAAGUAGCACAGUUUUUUGCAGUUCUGCGGGUGUUAUUGCACGAAGCUGCAAUAUUAUUGCAUUGUUAUUAUUGUUGUUAUUAUUAUCAUCAUCAGGCGAUAUAUAAAAAUUAUAUUGCUGGAUUCAUUUAAAAGUCUGUAUAAUUUUCACAAAUUCAAUUAAUGGAAUGUAACUUAAAUGGAUUAUAAUGUCACCAAACAUUAUCUAUAAUUCCAUUUCUUCAUGAUUAGUUAAAAUAGAUUAAAAAGAAAUCCAGUGCUAUAAAGGGUUGGAUGAGAAGCAAAACGUCUUCAAGGAAAAAUGAAGAAAUGACACUUGGGAAUUUUGUGGUGAGAAUUUUGCUCAUCUGAAAGAAAUACUGAAGGAGCAAACUUAAGAAGUAUUUUUUCCACUGAAAAAAAUAAUAAUAACAGUCAAUUAUGUUUGCUGAAAGUUUUCUGCAGCACCU
Molecule: long non-coding RNA, 638 nt
Organism: Ahaetulla prasina
Lineage: Eukaryota; Metazoa; Chordata; Lepidosauria; Squamata; Colubridae
Exons: 3
Source: RefSeq, a predicted model, not a curated record